AGAGUUUGAUCCUGGCUCAGGAUGAACGCUGGCGGCGUGCUUAACACAUGCGAGUCGAACGAAGCACUUUAUUACAAUUUCUUCGGAAUGACGAUUUAGUGACUGAGUGGCGGACGGGUGAGUAACGCGUGGGUAACCUGCCUUAUACAGGGGGAUAACAGUUAGAAAUGACUGCUAAUACCGCAUAAGCGCACAGGAUUGCAUGAUUUGGUGUGAAAAACUCUGGUGGGUAUAAGAUGGACCCGCGUCUGAUUAGCUGGUUGGUGAGGUAACGGCCCACCAAGGCGACGAUCAGUAGCCGACCUGAGAGGGUGACCGGCCACAUUGGGACUGAGACACGGCCCAAACUCCUACGGGAGGCAGCAGUGGGGAAUAUUGCACAAUGGGGGAAACCCUGAUGCAGCGACGCCGCGUGAGCGAAGAAGUAUUUCGGUAUGUAAAGCUCUAUCAGCAGGGAAGAAAAAAAUGACGGUACCUGACUAAGAAGCCCCGGCUAACUACGUGCCAGCAGCCGCGGUAAUACGUAGGGGGCAAGCGUUAUCCGGAUUUACUGGGUGUAAAGGGAGCGCAGGCGGUGCGGCAAGUCUGAUGUGAAAGCCCGGGGCUCAACCCCGGGACUGCAUUGGAAACUGUCGUACUUGAGUAUCGGAGAGGUAAGUGGAAUUCCUAGUGUAGCGGUGAAAUGCGUAGAUAUUAGGAGGAACACCAGUGGCGAAGGCGGCUUACUGGACGAUAACUGACGCUGAGGCGCGAAAGUGUGGGGAGCAAACAGGAUUAGAUACCCCGGUAGUCCACACCGUAAACGA
RNAcentral lists this ribosomal RNA (806 nucleotides) under uncultured bacterium. RNAcentral describes it as "bacterial SSU rRNA". It matches the Rfam family "Bacterial small subunit ribosomal RNA", at positions 8 to 809 of the family's 1533-position model. The record is from RNAcentral.